AAAGUUGUAGAACGAGCAUCAGAGAGAGAGAGAACAAGGGAGGAAGGGGAUUCACCUAAUAUUUCAAUCAUGUGCCAUCCAGGAGACCCUUUGCUCAGCCUGAACGACCUGUCGUCGGUGUUACGAAGGCGGUACCCAGUGCAUGCUCUCAGAGCAACUGGAGACGACCGCGUGCCUGCUGCAGCAGCAACAGCAACAGCCGUGGCCGGGGUUGAUGGGCUCGGGUCGAAGAGGAGAUGUGUGUGCUCGCCAACGCGGCACCCUGGUUCUUUCCGGUGUAGGCACCACCGCACUGAUUACGUGUGGGGGGGUGGGAUGGUGAGAAAAUGACCAGAAGAUACGUACAAACUAUAGCUAGCUACUUGAGAAGAGGAAAGUCCCACUGUCCCGCGGGAAAAGAAGUAACGAAGAAGAUCAGCCCCUUCGCAAAUUCUGCUGUCUGAUAGCUCCAUACUGAAAACAACAUAAGAUACGACAAGCCGGGUUUUAAAUCAGAGAGUCCAGGAGUGGCAUGGCUGUGUGCAAGACUCGCCGGCGCAUCAUAGCGGUUCCCCUCAGUGGAAGCACCAUCAUGCCGAGCCAAGUAUGGCGUGGUACGGCAGAACAGAAAUUGUACAGAAACUAGUCGUAAAAGAACAUAGAAGGGUGUUUGUGCAGAAACUCUAUACUUCCAACUUUUAUCCUUUCUAACGAUCUAAACAGCAGGAGCUUGGAGGCAAGUCGCCGUUUUGACUUCUAUACUUACAACCUCCGUUUGCUCUUUCUUACAACCUUUGUUUCCAAACUGCGUCAACCCUUUUCAUGAGAAGGAAAAUGGCAUAUAGCGCCGUAAACACAGAAUCAUUUGGGAUGGAAGCGCCAGAAACUCUUUUCAGCAGAAAAAUGAGGAGACCAAGAACAUCUAACGAUAUUGGUCGCCCAGAUUCCUUAGUGCAACCUUAGAUAUUCGAAAACCAA
Molecule: long non-coding RNA, 957 nt
Organism: Syzygium oleosum
Lineage: Eukaryota; Viridiplantae; Streptophyta; Magnoliopsida; Myrtales; Myrtaceae
Exons: 2
Source: RefSeq, a predicted model, not a curated record